GGUUAAAAUAAUUAAGGGCACACAAAGGAUGCCUAGGUAGUAAGAGCCGAUGAAGGACGUGGUAAGCUGCGAUAAGCCUAGAUAAGUUGCAAUCGAACGUAAGAGUCUAGGAUUUCCGAAUGGAGCAAUCUAUUAAGAUGGAGUCUUAAUACGAAAGAGGGAACCGCGUGAACUGAAACAUCUAAGUAACGCGAGGAAAAGAAAGUAAAAAACGAUACCCAAAGUAGCGGCGAGCGAACUGGGUCAAGCCUAAACCUUAAAUAUGUCAAGGAUACAGCCGUUGUAUUUAAGGGGUAGAGGGACAGAGUGGUGAAGAACUGUAAGAUAUUCAAUAUAGUGUAUUGAUGAAUUAGAAUUAUCUGGAAAGGUAAACCGUAGAAGGUGAGAGUCCUGUAUAAGUAAAUCCUUACACAUAUAACUUUGCUCCCAAGUAACAUGGAACACGAGGAAUUCUGUGUGAAUCAGUGAGGACCAUAUCUCAUAAGGCUAAAUACUCU
This 497-nucleotide ribosomal RNA is filed under the name Fusobacterium animalis. RNAcentral's name for it is "bacterial LSU rRNA". It matches the Rfam family "Bacterial large subunit ribosomal RNA", at positions 1 to 477 of the family's 2925-position model. The record is from RNAcentral. Lineage: Bacteria; Fusobacteriati; Fusobacteriota; Fusobacteriia; Fusobacteriales; Fusobacteriaceae.